UGAAAUGUCAUAGGCUUUGGAUUUUUAGAGUAACUAUAUUUUCUCACAGUGCAUUUCCUUGAGCGGUAAAAAGCCGCCGAACGCCGAACACGCUCCACACUUGAGUUCUGACGGACUCGAGUGCUUGGGGAAUGGACGAGACUCCACCUCAAGAUUCAAGCCCCAAAACUCAAAACUCAAGACUCAAGACCACAGACCCCCAGACCCCAGACCACAAGACACCCAAAGCCCCGAGACAGGGAGGAGCACUCUUGAGAGACCCUCGUGCUCGUGCCCCGUUUCAAAUGUUUCGUUAAAAAGAGGAAUUGUGGAACCUUUAAUUAAACGGUGGCCUAAAAUAUGCAAACGAGCCGGAGUCUUUGGAGAUCGGAGAACGGAGAAUGGAGACGUGGGGCCAGUCCG
Drosophila melanogaster (fruit fly) is the source of this 402-nucleotide non-coding RNA. NCBI's taxonomy places the organism in Eukaryota, Metazoa, Arthropoda, Insecta, Diptera, Drosophilidae. The record is from Ensembl.